Molecule: ribosomal RNA, 32 nt
Filed under: Viola somchetica
Lineage: Eukaryota; Viridiplantae; Streptophyta; Magnoliopsida; Malpighiales; Violaceae
Description: partial 28S ribosomal RNA
Source: RNAcentral
CUCAUAACGAGACCCCAGUCAGUCGACCUCCC